This 307-nucleotide long non-coding RNA is filed under the name Citrus sinensis (sweet orange). RNAcentral's name for it is "long non-coding RNA (CSIN_LNC004804)". The record is from RNAcentral. Lineage: Eukaryota; Viridiplantae; Streptophyta; Magnoliopsida; Sapindales; Rutaceae.
GGGGCAUUAUAGUCAUUUCACAAUAAAGGAGAGAUCAGACGGCAAAACGGACAUCACUUUUGAACUCAGGACGGUCGAAAACCUUAGGAGGAGCAUAAAAGGAAAAAUGGCACUAUUCACAUGUACGGUACUAUUCACGUAUACGGUACUGUCUACGUUACUGUUCACAUAGACGGAUCGAUGACGUGGCAUUGACCGAUGAUGUGGCAUUGACUGAUGAGGUGUCACGAUCCUGUUGGACUAAAAUUCUUAUGUACUGUUGACGGUGACGUGGCAGCAUAUCAGUGGACGAAAAAUCUCGCGUACG